AACGAACGUUAGCGGCGCGCCUAACACAUGCAAGUCGAGCGAGAAAGGGAGCAAUCCCCGGUACAGCGGCGCACGGGUGAGUAACACGUAGGUAAUCUGCCUUCGAGUGGGGGAUAACCUUCCGAAAGGAGGGCUAAUACCGCAUAAGACCACGACCUCGCGAGGGGAUGGGGUCAAAGCCGGCCACUAUACAUAAGCUGGCGCUUGAAGAUGAGCCUGCGGCCCAUCAGCGAGUUGGUAGGGUAAGGGCCUACCAAGGCGAAGACGGGUAGCUGGUCUGAGAGGAUGAUCAGCCACACUGGAACUGAGACACGGUCCAGACUCCUACGGGAGGCAGCAGUGGGGAAUCUUGCGCAAUGGGCGAAGGCCUGACGCAGCGACGCCGCGUGGGUGAUGAAGGCCUUCGGGUUGUAAAGCCCUGUGGAGGGGGAAGAAUAAGUCUUGGCUAACAUCCAAGAUGAUGACGGUACCCCUUUAGCAAGCACCGGCUAACUCUGUGCCAGCAGCCGCAGUAA
Molecule: ribosomal RNA, 515 nt
Filed under: uncultured bacterium
Lineage: Bacteria
Description: partial 16S ribosomal RNA
Rfam family: Bacterial small subunit ribosomal RNA
Source: RNAcentral